CACAAAUAUGAAGGCGGGCUGGAAACCUCUCGGGGUUACAGCCCUGCUGAAUUAUUCACCCUUGUCUUUUGCGUACUUCUUGUUUCCUUGGUGGGUUCGCCCACCACUAGGACAAACAUAACCUUUUGUAAUUGCAAUCAGCGUCAGUAACAAUUAAUAAUUA
This 163-nucleotide unclassified non-coding RNA is filed under the name soil metagenome. RNAcentral describes it as "partial internal transcribed spacer 1". The record is from RNAcentral.